Molecule: ribosomal RNA, 349 nt
Filed under: uncultured bacterium
Lineage: Bacteria
Description: bacterial SSU rRNA
Rfam family: Bacterial small subunit ribosomal RNA
Source: RNAcentral
GCCGCGUGAGGGAAGAAGGCCUUCGGGUCGUAAACCUCUGUCAGAAGGGAAGAAACCCUUGAGGUCGAAUAGGCUUCUUGGCUGACGGUACCUUCAGAGGAAGCACCGGCUAAUUCCGUGCCAGCAGCCGCGGUAAUACGGAAGGUGCAAGCGUUAAUCGGAAUCACUGGGCGUAAAGCGCACGUAGGCGGCGCGGACAGUCAGAUGUGAAAGCCCUCGGCUCAACCGAGGAAUUGCAUUUGAUACUUCCGUGCUCGAGUACUGGAGAGGCAGGCGGAAUUCCAGGUGUAGGAGUGAAAUCCGUAGAUAUCUGGAGGAACACCAGUGGCGAAGGCGGCCUGCUGGACAG